AUCUUUAAAAAAAUUUUUGAAGGAAGGAAAAUAAAAUCAUUUUGAAACAAAGUUGUUUAAGGUUACAGUUUUAGACUUAUGCAGUGAGAGGAGGAGGUGACAGAAGUAAAGGAUAAAGAAAGUGUAAGCAGAUGAGAUGCAGGCAGAUGUGUUUUCAUGGGGAUGUAGGAAAUGCUAUUAGUUUGCUUAACACUAAAGUGCAUCUGUCCCUUAUUGAGUGAUGAAAGCCCAGGAGACUGACUGUCCACACAAGUCCAGCUUUACAGGAUGAGCAUGUGAAAUUCACGGAAUAGCUAACUUACAUGAAAUAUGACCACGCCACUAAACAGCAACACAAUGGAAAGUGCAUCUGAGAACACUCAUGGAAUACGAUCAAGCAUAGCUGAUACAGAGUCCUUGAAAGGUGGUAGUAAAUAUACUCAUUUAAAGACUUUCACCUGUUGCUUUAAAUCAUUCAUACCCCACAGCAUGUCUGCCAGCACUAUGACCCUUGGCGCAGAGUGAGGAACAUCAAAGAAAAAAGUGAGGAGAUCAAGUCUCAGAAGCUGCUGCACUUUUUCCCUGGACAAGAAUGAUGGCUUCUCAAAGAGAGUCCAGAAGUCAUCUUUAGAGUCUGGAUGCUGUCUCUGCUUCAGAGUCUCUCUGCCAUAAAACAAGCAUCCACACAGCCUUCUUCCUCUUCUGCUGCCUGUGAGAUGAAGGUCAUUGCCUUUCAAGGCGAGGCAGGCAGAGAUCCUUGUCUUUCAUUGCCCUGUGUGCUAAGCUUUCUCACUUCCAGCAGUGGGGAAGGGUCAGAGAUUGCUGGAUUUUUCUAUGAACUUUGGAAUUUUGUUACCACACUAAAAGCCCAGCUUUCAGUAAAUCCAUACCUGAAGGGCUCUCUGGAACGUGUUUUGAGGCUGGCUCUGGAGACCCUCGUUGUAUCAGCUCUUCCAGCAAAAAUUUCUCAAUGCCAUAUGCAACAAAAUGCAGAGAUGGAUUAUAGGCUUCCAGCAAGUUACCACUGCCAAGGAGGAUGCAAAGAUAGGCAGUCUCCUGGCAUCCCCUGCUUGAAGACAAUGUACCGUAUCACGGUGGGGAAAAAAGAAAUAAAAAAGCAGAUUUCUCUGGACAGCAAUCAUCCUUCAGCUUCUAAGAAAGAACAGUCUGACUAG
Chrysolophus pictus (golden pheasant) is the source of this 1154-nucleotide long non-coding RNA. The record is from Ensembl. NCBI's taxonomy places the organism in Eukaryota, Metazoa, Chordata, Aves, Galliformes, Phasianidae.